AACCAAGUAGCCAAUAAACGCUUAGCUAGCUGUGUUAUCAACAACAACGAAUGCUCGACAUUAUAUCAGUAAUAUUCAAUGUUAUUUAAAAAGGUGAAUGUCUAACAGGCUAAAUCCACAAGCGAACUUUACUUAGCACUGUACAUUAGCUGAUAUAAACACGGGCUAGCCAAAUACCGGGUAGGAUUGUUUGGCUGCUCACACUAGCUAGCAUGUAGCAUAUACGCUAACAUUUAGAUUACUUAUUUUGUUCGAAAAAGCAGGAAACGAAAGAUUGGACAUCAGCAGCUGUUCUUGAUACAACAUGAUGGAGUCGUCCACUAAAGGAAAAGCCAAGCGAAGGCACCUGAACUCAGAGGAGUGUCGUGAAAUUAGUAGGAGACCAGAGGGCAGCCAACCCCUCACACAGCCCCACUCCGUCACUCGUAGGCACAGCAACUCAGACACCUACCGGGGUUUGUACCCCAGAACACCCACAAAGAGAAAGAGAGAUGCACGUGAUGACAAGAAGCAGCAAGGGAUCACUAAGUUUUUCCCUGUGAUCAGUGUGGUCAAGGUGUUAAGUCCUCAGAAAGCAGCCCUGUCCCAGGGCUCAGGUUCCGUAAAGACAGAGGGACUCAAUGGAGAGCUCAUCCCCAAAAUUGAGACCAUUGAGGAGAAGGCACUAGCCACCUCUAUGAAGGAGGAACCUGAGGAUGAGAAGGUGGACUAUCUGGAGGGGCUGACAACAGACAUGUUUGGGGACGACAAGGAGUUUGAGCGCUGUUGGUCAGAUCCAGACCCAGCCUUAAUGAAUCAUCAUGAGGAGGAGGAGGUGGAGGCCCUGCCUGACGCCCUCUACGGCCUCUUGGGAAGCAGCAGGGGCCUGGCCCAUCCCCAGGGUCACGUGGACGACCUCCCAGAGGAGGUGCUGAUGCUGGUGUUGAGCCUCCUGCCUGCUGAGGACCUCUACUGUAACGUCAGCCUGGUCUGCCAACGCUGGAGGAACAUUGUGACCCAGUCACUGUUUGUGCCCUGGAAGAAGCUGUAUUACCGCUACACGAAGAAGGAGAUCAACGCCGUGAAGGAGAUCAACGCCAUCCUGGAAACCCAUAGAAUCAUAAAGGACGACCAGGAGAGCAUCCUCCAUAUAGUCGAGUUCAUGGCCCAGUAUAAGCCCAGUCAGAAGGUGAAGCCUGAGUCAGUGUUACAGAGUGUGAGGACACAUUGUCUGUUCCCUCAGGCUGAGGCCUGCAUUAAACACCGACUCCCCAAAUUGGAGGGUAUCGAGGGGGGCCCUAACCCGUGGGCAGCCAUGGCCCUGAUGCUGGUGCUGUGUGACGGUGUGGGAGAUGUUCUGGACCUGGUGGUCUGUCUCAGAGGCUGUCUCCCUUCAGCCAGCGCCAUCACGGAGUACCUCAGCGCCAUGGCAACCAUGCUGCUCGCCAUGAGGAGGAACGAUAUCAACAUCAGCAACAGGUGGCACUACAACAUCUUCUAUGUCCUUCACCUGAUGGAGAAUGCCUUGCCCACAGCAAUAACCAAUCAGAGUGGGAGAGCCCAGGUUCAGGUGACCCACGAACAGCAGCAGAUCCUCAACCACGACAUCCAUAGAGACCACGUGGUCAAGAUCAUGGCCUUCGCAGGCACAGGGAAGACCACCACCCUGAUUCGGUAUGCCCAGCAGAGGCCACACCACCACUUCCUCUACAUGGCCUUCAACAAGUCUGUGGCUACCCAGGCCCAGCGCUGUUUCCCCAGCAAUGUGGACUGCAGGACGGUCCACUCCAUGGCCUUUGGGGCCGUCGGAAAGAGGUACCAGGAGCUAAAGAAGUUGUCUAGUAACGUGAAGCCCUUCUCUGUGGCCUGGGUGCUGCCUAAGGGCAGCGGGGGCUUUGUCAACGCCAAGGUGGUCACCCUGACCCUCAAUGCCUACAUGGCCUCGGCCGACACACACAUCACCCCCAACCACGUCCCAAACACGUACAAAAACACACAUGGCAAAAUGACCGUGCCUGACUGCAAUGCAAAAAGGAUGUUUGCGAGGGAUGCCCAGAGGAUCUGGGACAAAAUGGUUGCCUUAGAAGAGACCAGGGAGUACGCACACCACAUGACCCACGAUGGGUAUCUGAAGCUGUGGCAGCUGCAGAGGCCGACACUGGACAAGUAUGAUGUCAUCUUUAUAGACGAGGCACAGGACUGUACUCCAGCCAUCAUGGACAUCAUGCUACCUCAGCACUGUGGGAAGAUCCUGGUGGGAGACCCUCAUCAGCAGAUCUAUACCUUCAGAGGAGCAGUCAAUGCCCUGAACCUGGUGGAACACACACACCUCUACUACCUCACCCAGAGCUUUCGGUUUGGUUCGGAGAUUGCCUAUAUUGGAGCCACGAUUCUCCAAGUGUGUAAGAAAGUGAAGAAGAUUCUGGUAGGAGGAAAACAAGACGGCUGUGUGUGGGGUAAGGCUGUGGACUCGCUGCGUCCCCUGACUACAGGGUUGAGUCCUGGCCGGGGUAAGUUAGCAGUGCUGUCUCGCACUAACGUCUCCGUGUUCGACCAAGCAGUCAGACUCACCGAUGCCAACCCCCGCUGUAGGCUGCACAUCGUAGGGGGGGUGGAGAAUUUUGGGCUGAAAAGAAUCAUGGACAUUUGGGUUCUGAUGCAGCCAGAAAACAACCGCUCUCGAGGCAUCAAGGACAGCUUCAUCCGUAGGUUCACCCAGCAGAGUCUGGGGGGCUACUUUGGACUGAAGAGUUACGCUAAAAAAACAGAGGACCGUGAGUUGGAGGGCAAACUCUCCAUGGUGGAGAAAUACAACAGCCGCAUCCCUGAGCUGGUGGAACGCAUCUACGGCUGCACAGAGAGACAGGCCCAAAACGCAGAUUUUAUCCUGGGGACAGUCCAUAAGUCAAAGGGUCUGGAGUUUGACACGGUGGUGAUCACUGAUGACUUUGCUAAGGUCCCCUGUGCCGCCCACAACUUACCUAGACUUUCCAGCUGCUCAGGAGGUGACGUCCCAGACGAUGAGUGGAACCUGCUGUAUGUGGCGGUGACUCGGGCCAAGAGCUCUCUGGUCAUCACCAAGAACAUCACCAACAUCCUCACACUGGCUGGGGUGAGAGCACUGAUCACUGGAGGCUGGAGUACUUCCUGAGGACAGAGUUGACCAGCGCCCUGCUGACCGAGGGCCAGCCCCCAUGCUGCUCCGUGCGGGAGUGUCAUAACCACAUCACGCCCGUCUGGCCCCUCGCCAUGUGCAAGCUGCCACUCCAAUACAUGGAUAGUGCAGACGAUGGAGGUCCUAUGUGUGGGGCGUGUGUGUUGCAGCGUGUCGGCCCCACGGCCAGUCUCCUAGCCUCCCCAGAACUGCUCAAGGUCCUGCCAGUGACCGAGGAGCGCCUGAACCUGCCCAUCAACUACGCUUUACUGAUGGCUCUCUUCUGAGGGGACACGCUCACGUACACAUGCAAACUCAACAUGCUGCUUGAACUGUUCUGAAAACACACCCACACAACAUGAGAGAUGGACCUCUCCACUGAUGUUGUCUUGGGGGAAAAAUCAGUCUGCGUAAUAGGCAUUUGAACUAUCCAAUUAUGGACCAGAAGGUAACAGUGUGGGGCAGAGUUAUUACUCAGCCAAUCUCCUAGCACCUAGAGACACUGACAACGUGGUACCCUUGAUGAUGAUUGGCCUAGAGCUGCCCCCCAUGAUCUCUGUUAGUCUAAAGGUGUGUUCCUUGCUGAUUUGGAUAAAUGUUUGGGGCAGAAUGGCAUUAUUGUGAUAUUGAUAUGUCUUGCUUUUUAGUGUGGUUAUAUUUUGCAGCAAAGAAAAUGCACAACUUCAGUCCUGUCUUUAAUUACGUGUCAUUUUCUACUUAACAUAUAAAACAGAUUUUAAAAAGUAAUGUCUUUUAAAAUGAUAACAAAAGAAACAUUUGUCUUCAGUUUGAGUACUUUGAGGUUAACAACAUAAGCAUCAUCAUAAGUCAUGUCCAUUGUUUCCAUAAAGACACAGUUGCUAAUACUCUAAUGGAAACGGUAAAGACAAGUUUUUGUGGUUAAUUUGGAAUGCUAUAUAAAGUGCAAACUGCCAUAUGGGAUGAGACCUGUGUCUGUGUUCAAAACUGCAAUGUUUCAUGUCUACAUUUUUUUUCCCUGUGUUUGUAUCAGAUUGUACAACAGCUGAUAUUUUACAGUUAAAAUUUUUACAAGUGGCAAUUCUUUAAAGUCGGUGUUAUUUCCUGGCCCUCUAUGUUAACAUGGAUCGUACUGGGGUACGGAUUUAAAAAUUCCUCAAUCUGCCAUUGGCACCCAUUCAAAUGAUCCCUAAGGUUGCCUAGUCCAAUCUUGUUCAUUCUCUAAAUUAAAUGCCAUGUUUUCUCAUUA
Molecule: RNA transcript, 4361 nt
Organism: Oncorhynchus kisutch (coho salmon)
Lineage: Eukaryota; Metazoa; Chordata; Actinopteri; Salmoniformes; Salmonidae
Gene: fbh1
Gene name: F-box DNA helicase 1
Exons: 21
Source: RefSeq, a predicted model, not a curated record